GCUAGGCGCGGUGUCGCAUGCCUGUAAUCCCAGUAGCUCGGGAGGCUGAGGCAGGGGGAUCAUGAGGUCAAAGCCAGUCUCAGCAAAAGAAAGACACUAAGUAACUCAGGGAGACCCUGUCUCUA
RNAcentral lists this small RNA (125 nucleotides) under Marmota monax (woodchuck). Lineage: Eukaryota; Metazoa; Chordata; Mammalia; Rodentia; Sciuridae. The record is from RNAcentral.